RNAcentral lists this ribosomal RNA (787 nucleotides) under uncultured archaeon. RNAcentral's name for it is "bacterial SSU rRNA". It matches the Rfam family "Archaeal small subunit ribosomal RNA", at positions 85 to 876 of the family's 1478-position model. The record is from RNAcentral.
ACGGCUCAGUAACACGUGGACAACUGCCCUUAGGACGGGUAUAAACCCGGGAAACUGGGUAUAAUUCCCGAUAGGUCUCGUCUGCUGGAAUGCAUCGAGAUCCAAAGCUCCGGCGCCUACGGAUGGGUCUGCGGCCUAUCAGGUAGUAGUGGGUGUAGCGUACCUACUAGCCUACGACGGGUACGGGUUGUGAGAGCAAGAGCCCGGAGAUGGAUUCUGAGACAUUAAUCCAGGCCCUACGGGGUGCAGCAGGCGCGAAAACUUUACAAUGCUGGGAACAGCGAUAAGGGAACCUCGAGUGCCAGGUUACAAAUCUGGCUGUCGUGAUGCCUAAAAAGCAUUAUAUAGCAAGGGCCGGGCAAGACCGGUGCCAGCCGCCGCGGUAACACCGGCGGCUCGAGUGGUAACCGUUAUUUUUCGGUAUUAAGGGUCCGUAGCCGGCCGGAUAAGUCUCUUGGGAAAUGGGGCAGCUUAACGGUCAGCCUUUCACGGGAUACUGUCUGGCUCGAGGCCGGGAGAGGUGAGAGGUACUUCAGGGGUAGGGGUGAAAUCAGGUAAUCCCUGAAGGACCACCAUUGCCGAGGGCGUCUCACCAGAACGGACCUGACGCCAAGGCCUCACCAAUAGCGGCAUGAGCCGGGGCCCCUUCCCGGGUCAUCCUAGCAAUCAUCAUUACUCACCCGGUGUGGGACGCGUCAUUCCCGAGUUCUUCACCGUUGGGAAACCGUGAACCGAUCCCCGGGGGAAGUACGGCCCAAGGCAGAACUUACAGGAAUUGGCGAGCGAG